AUUGCCAAGUUGCUCAUAAAGAAAGGCAAGUUAGAGAAGGCUUCCCUCUCUCUGCAGGGGUCAGUGUGCCUAGUGGUGAUUGGAAAGUGCCUCCACCAGAAGAGAGGCGGCAGAUCCAGCAGAGCUCUCCCUCCAGUCAUUCAGGUAGCCAUGCUGUUUUGAAGGAAGCCGUGGAGACUGCUGCCUGUCGAUCCUGGAAAACAGCUGCUCUGACGGGAACCAGCUCUCCCGGGGAAAGGGCACAGCUCCUGCCAUGACCGGAACGAGGCACGCUGCACUUUGGCCAUGUGGAAUUCAUCUAAAGGCAACAACUAAUGAUGUGUGCAUGGGCUUUCUACAAGGCAGUUUCUCCCUGGGUAUUUUUACUGCCAACGACUGAAAACAACCUCAUUGUCUAACAGCAGGAGACCGGCUCAAUACAUGAAGGCACCUUCAUGGAACAGCAUACUCUACAGUGUUCAAGCUGAUGUUUUAGGAAAUUAGUGAAAUCCAAAACUGUUCAGAAUACGUUUUAUGUUUUAAAAUGACCA
Molecule: long non-coding RNA, 530 nt
Organism: Cavia porcellus (domestic guinea pig)
Lineage: Eukaryota; Metazoa; Chordata; Mammalia; Rodentia; Caviidae
Exons: 3
Source: RefSeq, a predicted model, not a curated record